This 253-nucleotide ribosomal RNA is filed under the name uncultured bacterium. RNAcentral's name for it is "partial 16S ribosomal RNA". It matches the Rfam family "Bacterial small subunit ribosomal RNA", at positions 524 to 776 of the family's 1533-position model. The record is from RNAcentral.
UACGUAGGGCACAAGCGUUGUCCGGAAUUAUUGGGCGUAAAGAGCUCGUAGGCGGUUUGUCGCGUCUGCUGUGAAAACUCGAGGCUCAACCUCGGGCUUGCAGUGGGUACGGGCAGACUAGAGUGCGGUAGGGGUGACUGGAAUUCCUGGUGUAGCGGUGGAAUGCGCAGAUAUCAGGAGGAACACCGAUGGCGAAGGCAGGUCACUGGGCCGCAACUGACGCUGAGGAGCGAAAGCAUGGGGAGCGAACAGG